RNAcentral lists this ribosomal RNA (490 nucleotides) under uncultured bacterium. RNAcentral's name for it is "partial 16S ribosomal RNA". It matches the Rfam family "Bacterial small subunit ribosomal RNA", at positions 30 to 507 of the family's 1533-position model. The record is from RNAcentral.
AUUGAACGCUGGCGGCAGGCCUAACACAUGCAAGUCGAACGGUAACAGGAAGCAGCUUGCUGCUUUGCUGACGAGUGGCGGACGGGUGAGUAAUGUCUGGGAAACUGCCUGAUGGAGGGGGAUAACUACUGGAAACGGUAGCUAAUACCGCAUAACGUCGCAAGACCAAGGGGGGGGACCUUCGGCCCUCUUGCCUUCGAAUGUGCCCAGAUGGGAUUAGCUAGUAGGUGGGGUAACGGCUCACCUAGGCGACGAUCCCUAGCUGGUCUGAGAGGAUGACCAGCCACACUGGAACUGAGACACGGUCCAGACUCCUACGGGAGGCAGCAGUGGGGAAUAUUGCACAAUGGGCGCAAGCCUGAUGCAGCCAUGCCGCGUGUAUGAAGAAGGCCUUCGGGUUGUAAAGUACUUUCAGCGGGGAGGAAGGGAGUAAAGUUAAUACCUUUGCUCAUUGACGUUACCCGCAGAAGAAGCACCGGCUAACUCCGUG